AUUGAACGCUGGCGGCAUGCCUUACACAUGCAAGUCGAACGGUAACAGGUCUUCGGAUGCUGACGAGUGGCGAACGGGUGAGUAAUACAUCGGAACGUGCCUAGUAGUGGGGGAUAACUACUCGAAAGAGUGGCUAAUACCGCAUGAGAUCUAUGGAUGAAAGCAGGGGAUCGCAAGACCUUGUGCUACUAGAGCGGCCGAUGGCAGAUUAGGUAGUUGGUGGGAUAAAAGCUUACCAAGCCGACGAUCUGUAGCUGGUCUGAGAGGACGAUCAGCCACACUGGGACUGAGAAACGGCCCAGACUCCUACGGGAGGCAGCAGUAGGGAAUUUUGGACAAUGGGCGCAAGCCUGAUCCAGCAAUGCCGCGUGCAGGAUGAAGGCCUUCGGGUUGUAAACUGCUUUUGUACGGAACGAAAAGCCCCGGGUUAAUACCCUGGGGUCAUGACGGUACCGUAAGAAUAAGCACCGGCUAACUACGUGCCAGCCGCCGCCGUAA
Molecule: ribosomal RNA, 498 nt
Filed under: uncultured bacterium
Lineage: Bacteria
Description: partial 16S ribosomal RNA
Rfam family: Bacterial small subunit ribosomal RNA
Source: RNAcentral